AACGAACGCUGGCGGCAUGCCUAACACAUGCAAGUCGAACGAGACCUUCGGGUCCUGUCGCGCACGGGUGCGUAACGCGUGGGAAGCUGCACUUAGGGUCGGCAUAACUCUCCGACAGGGGUGAUAACAGGGGAUCAUGUCUUCGGCCGAAAGAUUUAUCGCCUUUGGAUGGUCCCGCGUUGGAUUCGCUUGUGCGUAGGGUUAAAGACUACCAAGGCGACGAUUCAUAGCUUGGCAGAGAGGAUGAUCAGCCACACUGAGACUGAGACACGGCCCAGACUCCUACGGGAUGCAGCAGUGGGGAACAUUGGACCAUGGGCGAAAUCCUGAUGCAGCAAUGCCGGGUGAGUGAUGAAGGCCGUAGGGUUGUAAAGCGCUUUUACCCAGGAUGAUAAUGACAGUACCGGGAGAAUAAGCUCCGGCUAACUCCGUG
This 433-nucleotide ribosomal RNA is filed under the name uncultured bacterium. RNAcentral describes it as "partial 16S ribosomal RNA". It matches the Rfam family "Bacterial small subunit ribosomal RNA", at positions 29 to 507 of the family's 1533-position model. The record is from RNAcentral.